AUUUAAAUAGCUUAUAUAGAGCAUAGUAUUGAAAAUACUAAGGAAAUAUUUAUAUUUUUAAAUA
This 64-nucleotide transfer RNA is filed under the name Odoiporus longicollis (banana stem weevil). Its description in RNAcentral is "tRNA-Phe". The record is from RNAcentral. Lineage: Eukaryota; Metazoa; Arthropoda; Insecta; Coleoptera; Curculionidae.